This is a long non-coding RNA of Scomber japonicus (chub mackerel), 292 nucleotides long. RefSeq lists it as uncharacterized. The record is from RefSeq and is a predicted model, not a curated record. NCBI's taxonomy places the organism in Eukaryota, Metazoa, Chordata, Actinopteri, Scombriformes, Scombridae. The transcript is spliced from 3 exons.
CCGACUGCCAGACCUUCAACCCCACCACCACCAACAACAACAACACAGAGUUUCACAAGAAGCUCCACAUCUUUAUCAUCUUCUACUAAAACUACCAACCAGUCUGAACAGAAGCAAACUGAGACAACAACAGAUGGAGGUUCAGGUCAAUCUACAACAGGUGUGCCGCUGUACGUGGGUCUGACUCUGUUCAUCUUCGUGCUCCUGUUCUCCGUGGCUGUGCUGAUACUCUGCAAGAAAAGAGCCUCUAAACCCAAAGAACAUCCUGAGGAAGCAGUGUAUGCUAAUUUCA